This 746-nucleotide ribosomal RNA is filed under the name uncultured bacterium. Its description in RNAcentral is "bacterial SSU rRNA". It matches the Rfam family "Bacterial small subunit ribosomal RNA", at positions 8 to 754 of the family's 1533-position model. The record is from RNAcentral.
AGAGUUUGAUCAUGGCUCAGGAUGAACGCUAGCGGCAGGCCUAACACAUGCAAGUCGAGGGGUAGACAUCUUCGGAUGUUGAGACCGGCGCACGGGUGCGUAACGCGUAUGCAAUCUACCUUAUACUAAGGGAUAGCCCAGAGAAAUUUGGAUUAAUACCUUAUAGUUAAUUGAAAAGGCAUCUUUUUAAUUAUAAAGAUUUAUUGGUAUAAGAUGAGCAUGCGUCCCAUUAGUUAGUUGGUAAGGUAACGGCUUACCAAGACGAUGAUGGGUAGGGGUCCUGAGAGGGAGAUCCCCCACACUGGUACUGAGACACGGACCAGACUCCUACGGGAGGCAGCAGUGAGGAAUAUUGGUCAAUGGAGGCAACUCUGAACCAGCCAUGGCCGCGUGCAGGAUGAAGCAUCUAUGGUGUGUAAACUGCUUUUGUACGGGAAGAGAAAAAGCUACGUGUAGCUUACUGACGGUACCGUAAGAAUAAGGAUCGGCUAACUCUGUGCCAGCAGCCGCGGUAAUACGGAGGAUCCAAGCGUUAUCCGGAAUCAUUGGGUUUAAAGGGUCCGUAGGCGGCCUUAUAAGUCAGCGGUGAAAGUUUUUGGCUUAACCAAAAAAUUGCCAUUGAUACUGUAGGGCUUGAAUUAUUGUGAAGUAACUAGAAUAUGUAGUGUAGCGGUGAAAUGCUUAGAUAUUACAUGGAAUACCAAUUGCGAAGGCAGGUUACUAACAAUAUAUUGACGCUGAUGGAC